GACGAGAUUUCACUGGAAGAGCACUGCUGUGGCGAGAUGGGUCUAUAUUCUAUGCCCUCACGCGACUCAAAUCCUACAAGAUUUGAUAAAUUUACCAACUCAGGUUCUGUCUUCGAUUCUUGAUCUACUCUGGAGAUCAUAUCAAUGGAGCGUCUUUUAAUUUCUGGGAUACCAACAGGAUUUUGCUUCAAUCUUUUCUUCAGGUGGGUGU
Molecule: unclassified non-coding RNA, 211 nt
Filed under: Hevea brasiliensis (rubber tree)
Lineage: Eukaryota; Viridiplantae; Streptophyta; Magnoliopsida; Malpighiales; Euphorbiaceae
Source: RNAcentral